GGCUCCGUGGUGUAAGGCACACCAGAUUGCAAGUCUGGAAGCGCAGGCUAAAGGUUCCCUGCCGGGGCUU
RNAcentral lists this transfer RNA (70 nucleotides) under Chilodus punctatus (spotted headstander). RNAcentral's name for it is "tRNA-Cys". It matches the Rfam family "tRNA". From Rfam's summary of the family: Transfer RNA (tRNA) molecules are approximately 80 nucleotides in length. Lineage: Eukaryota; Metazoa; Chordata; Actinopteri; Characiformes; Chilodontidae. The record is from RNAcentral.